Molecule: ribosomal RNA, 253 nt
Filed under: uncultured bacterium
Lineage: Bacteria
Description: partial 16S ribosomal RNA
Rfam family: Bacterial small subunit ribosomal RNA
Source: RNAcentral
UACGUAGGGUGCGAGCGUUAAUCGGAAUUACUGGGCGUAAAGUGUGCGCAGGCGGCCGAGCAAGUCGAGUGUGAAAGCCCCGGGCUUAACUUGGGAAUUGCGCUCGAAACUACUUGGCUGGAGUGUGGCAGAGGAAGGUGGAAUUCCAGGUGUAGCGGUGAAAUGCGUAGAUAUCUGGAGGAACACCGGUGGCGAAGGCGGCAUCCUGGACCGAUACUGACGCUGAGGAGCGAAAGCGUGGGGAGCGAACAGG